This is a long non-coding RNA of Megalobrama amblycephala (Wuchang bream), 2100 nucleotides long. RefSeq lists it as uncharacterized. Lineage: Eukaryota; Metazoa; Chordata; Actinopteri; Cypriniformes; Xenocyprididae. The record is from RefSeq and is a predicted model, not a curated record. The transcript is spliced from 3 exons.
UGGAGUUCGGCGUCUCGUGACAUUAGCGCCAAUUUUUUCAAAUGGCGUGUCAACUGUCAGGUUUGAUUAUUCAAAGUGUCUCAACAUGUGAAAAUGCAUCUCCAGAGCAUUAAGUUUGGUACAUAUUCGGUUUUUAAGCAUCCUGUGUAAACAGCAAAAUCAUUCCAUCUUGAAAUUUGAAUCGCCCCGAAGGAGACAGGAAGAGAGACGGGCCUAAGGAGCACGGAUCAGGCGGUAAAUGGCUACUCAUCGCGACCAGGAACGAAACUCAUCCAUCCCAAGAGACCCUUAGAGAAGGGUGAGAGAGGCAAGCGGUGAGGAAGGAAGAAUAUGCGCUGCUCUCUCUUCCUUGCAGCUGUGUCACAGCCUUGUAUUCAGAAGAAAAGUCCAGGCAUUUGGGCUGCGGGCACUUGAGGUGGACCGUCUGUCAACGGCCAGCCACCGCCGCCUGAAUAAGUGGACUGAGAGCUGCUUUGUCCCGAUCUGCCCUUCGCACCCAAGCAGACCAAAGGAAUGUCAGGUCUCCGAGGUGAGAUUGCAUGGAUAGCUUCGGCUGAUCACUUGAGGAAGUCCCAUGUGUUAAAGUGAGUCUCGGAGGCACCUUCAAGCAGCUUAGGUGAAUCGCCAUAUUGAUAUACGAUGAAAACUGGGGGCCCGGCAAUCCCUCCUUAAUCCUAUAAUGCAACGCUGUGCCGUGGAUUUUGUUAUCGGCCGGUUCUCCAGUGUCGCUUGGGAGGCGUAUCUGUGUGACCUGACAUGGUGACCACUAUCGCUGACUCGCCUAUUCAACUUGACUCAAGUUGAUUUGCUCGCUUGGAUCUAGAGUUUCCCUUUCUCCCCCUCGCUCUCCCUUUUCCCUCUCCCUCUUCCUCUCUCUCUCUUUCUCUCUCCUGUUUCAAUCUGAGAUCAGACAGCAAUGUUACUACACCACAUCUUGAUUUGUUUGUGUUGUGCUUUUCAAGAACCGCUGAGGAAAUGGAAACAGAGAGCCUGAAAUUAUCUUGCAUUAUUCAAAUGCUUUGCCAACUAGCACAAGCUAUUUUAUCUCUAUUUACUCCAUGACCCGAGAUCAGAAGCUAAGUGGCAUAUGUAUGUCCAUUAGCUGCAGGAUUGAAGCUCCCUCUCACCCACCGCCCUGUUUUCAUAAUUAGCCCUUCCCUGCUAAAUGUCAGAGUCUGCUGCCGCACAUCCAUCCGACGGGCCCUUGGCAGCGUACGCUAACUCCUAAACAACACUGAUAUGGCUAAGUGUUUCAGGAAGCGAGGCCUCGGUUCCAAGGGGUUACGUAAUGGAGCCGGCUCCUUCAUUAAAGGCUUCCUGCUCGCCGUUGAGUGUGCCUCAGGUCCCUUGGCUCCUUGCAUUGCCAUUCAUGCUGCCCACAUGCAAACAAAUAUUAAUUUUACCCCAGCACAAACAAUAACAAAAGCAGAUGUCAGUCAAACACUCUUGAGUGUGGUGGUGACCUGUCGUCUUAGGGAGGAUUGACUGGGCGGGACUUUGAAGGCUGGCUCUACAGAGGCUUGGUUAUGUUUAGGAGGGCGGUAGGCGGACUCUGGGCCUCUUUGUGUUGUGUCCCGUCUCCACCAUUAGAUGGAGUGCUUGCUGUCAGUGGAAAUGAGUCUGUUUUGUGCUCACAUCUCAUGUCAACUGGAUGCAGACAGAGAAACUGAUUAGAUAAUUAGCAUCACCAUUGAUUAUGAUUUAUUAUUCAAAUGAUAAUGCACAGAUACAAUCAUUAGUUGAUAUGUGUGCUGUAAAUGCUUAUUCAUAAGUGUGUUGCAAAUACAGAAAACAACUUGAUUUUGCAGUUUUCUGUAUUUAUUAGUACUUAGAUAUCAAUUAAGCACUUCAGUGUACUGUAUAAUGUUAAUUUUCGAAAAAUUCGUUACAGACAUUCCCUUCAAUCACGUACGAUUGACUAAAAUAAUGCAAGAGAUGUUAAUUAGAAAUUAUGUGUUUUAUAAGUGUCUGUAAGAUUGAAUAUGAACAUGCAGUACAAUAGUUUAUCUUGAUAUCUUGACAAGACACUAUUGCACAAAGUAGCUAAAUACAGCAAAGCUCCAAUUCUUUUUAAAGUUUGGGCUCAGUAUGGUUUCUCCU